RNAcentral lists this transfer RNA (73 nucleotides) under Ailuropoda melanoleuca (giant panda). It matches the Rfam family "tRNA". Rfam says of the family: Transfer RNA (tRNA) molecules are approximately 80 nucleotides in length. Their secondary structure includes four short double-helical elements and three loops (D, anti-codon, and T loops). Further hydrogen bonds mediate the characteristic L-shaped molecular structure. tRNAs have two regions of fundamental functional importance: the anti-codon, which is responsible for specific mRNA codon recognition, and the 3' end, to which the tRNAs corresponding amino acid is attached (by aminoacyl-tRNA synthetases). tRNAs cope with the degeneracy of the genetic code in two manners: having more than one tRNA (with a specific anti-codon) for a particular amino acid; and 'wobble' base-pairing, i.e. permitting non-standard base-pairing at the 3rd anti-codon position. The record is from Rfam by way of RNAcentral. Lineage: Eukaryota; Metazoa; Chordata; Mammalia; Carnivora; Ursidae.
ACCUAGCUGGCUCAGUUGGUAGAGCCUGUGACUCUUGAUCUUGGGGUUGUAAGUUCAAGACCCAUGUUGGGUG